UGCAUCUGGAAAGAGACGCUGGCCGGGCCUGAUCCCGGGAGGCGUCCGCCGACGGGAUAAUACUCUCAGGCACAGCGACAGAUGGGGCUUC
Molecule: non-coding RNA, 91 nt
Filed under: Bradyrhizobium sp. ORS 278
Lineage: Bacteria; Pseudomonadati; Pseudomonadota; Alphaproteobacteria; Hyphomicrobiales; Nitrobacteraceae
Description: gcvT
Rfam family: Glycine riboswitch aptamer
About the family: This family represents the bacterial glycine riboswitch.
Source: RNAcentral